CCUGCUCAAUGAUUAUUAAAUAGCCGCAAUUUCAUGUGCUAAGGUAGCAUAAUAAUUUGUUCCCUAAUUAGGAAAUAGAAUGAAAGGAUACACGAUUUAUAUUCUUUCUUAAUUAUGAAAAUUUAAAUUAUAAUAGAAAUAAAAAUAUUUCUGUAAUAUAGGAAGACGACAAGACCCUAAGAACUUCAUUAAUAAUUUAACUGGGGAAGUUUAAUAAAUAAACUUUAUAAUAAUAAAUAUAAUUAAAUGCUUAAAAUAGAAAUAUCAUAGUUACCUUAGGGAUAACAGCAUAAUUUUUAUUUAAAGCUCUAAUUCAAAUAAUUUUUAUGACCUCGAUGUUGAAUUAAUUUAACUUUUAUAAGCACAAAUAUAAAAAGUAAGUCUGUUCGACUAUUAAACUAUUACAU
This 407-nucleotide ribosomal RNA is filed under the name Ochyrocera sp. 447 FL-2019. Its description in RNAcentral is "partial large subunit ribosomal RNA". The record is from RNAcentral. Lineage: Eukaryota; Metazoa; Arthropoda; Arachnida; Araneae; Ochyroceratidae.